Molecule: ribosomal RNA, 231 nt
Filed under: uncultured Staphylococcus sp.
Lineage: Bacteria; Bacillati; Bacillota; Bacilli; Caryophanales; Staphylococcaceae
Description: partial 16S ribosomal RNA
Rfam family: Bacterial small subunit ribosomal RNA
Source: RNAcentral
AGUAACACGUGGAUAACCUACCUAUAAGACUGGGAUAACUUCGGGAAACCGGAGCUAAUACCGGAUAAUAUUUUGAACUGCAUGGUUCAAAAGUGAAAGACGGUCUUGCUGUCACUUAUAGAUGGAUUCGCGCUGCAUUAGCUAGUUGGUAAGGUAACGGCUUACCAAGGCAACGAUGCAUAGCCGACCUGAGAGGGUGAUCGGCCACACUGGAACUGAGACACGGUCCAG